GGGAAGGGGACACGAGCGCCGUGUGCACACGCCGAACUAGACCAGAAAAAUGGGGUUCGAAUCCAGCCCCGCCACCAGUGGGGGGCGCCACUGGCUGAGCUUGAAUCCUGCCUCUGUCACCGAAUAGCUGGGGGGCCCUGGGGGGGCCCUUUACCGCCUUCUGCCUCAGUUUCCUCUUCUGCUGCACAGCGUCAAUAACAGCGUCUGCCUCCCGGGGUUGGGAGGAUUCAGAGAGAUCAAUAAGGCGCCCACCGGACUUUCCAGGUGCCACAGAAUGACCAGAGGAGGAGGGGGAGGAGGGGGAUGGUCAGGCUGCCCCUCCUCCUACGCAGACGUCCCGCGGUUCCCAAAGGCUUCCCGUUCUUCACUGUCAAAUUCCAGUCAAGAGACGUGAGGUACCUACUAGGUGCGAAACCUGGGGCUGCGCUUCUUGUUCCCAGAAAACGCCUGAUUGGAUUGGGGGCGGGGGGACUCCCGGGGUGGAAACUCCCUCCCUUGGCCCUCGUCCAUAACGAAGAGGGUUGUCUAAUGACCCUGAGAGGCUUGGAUCAGCGAGGUCCGUGCCAGCUGCCCAUCCUGGUCCAUCCCGGUCUGCCUUGUUCUGGUCUGGUCUACUCUAGUGUGCCCUGCUCUGUUGGCUCUGGUCUAGCCUGUCUGGCUCUACUUGGGUCUCCCCGGCUCUGUCCCAGGUCCUGGAUCCACUCUAACACCCCUCGCUACGUGCGGGCACCUGCCGACCUCCAGGCUGGCUUCCAUCUCCAGAUGGUCAGAGGGCCCAUCUGUGAAGGGGCAGAGGCUCGGGGUCCGAGGAGACAACCCCCACGUGAACGGAGCUCACGUCCGGGACACCCGGACCUCGUGGAGAGCCUCCCUCCCGCUCCUGGCUUGGCCAGCAGAGCAUCCCUUCGGAAGAGGCCACGAGGGGGAGCAUUCACGGGAGAGCCCAGUAGCGUUGGGGGGCUCCGGGGGCAUUUACAACCAUCCCCAAUGGCAAGAGAAGAGAACAUGGCCAACGCCCUGGAAGGCUCUCUCGGCAGCCUACAGAAGGGCCCACAAACCCUCGCUGAGGUCUUCAAGAUCCGCUUCUGCGCACUCCAACUGAGGCGUCCUCCAGCUCCCGACCUCGGCUUCCUAAGCCCGAAAUCCUGGGGGGGGGGGGAGAUGCCUCCUCUGAGCUGUGGGACCCCGACCUCCUGCGGGGACCAUCUCCAACAUGCUCAUGGACGCGUCGCACAGAAGAGUCUCAGUGACACAUGGACCCAGCCAGUGAUGAGCAACUGCUUCGAGAGCGCCUUUGGUUGGAAAAUGCCUUCAACAUGUUCAGAGGGUGACUGAACAGAGCAAACUCUCUGAUAUUGUUUCUCUUAUAUUGUGG
RNAcentral lists this long non-coding RNA (1375 nucleotides) under Monodelphis domestica (gray short-tailed opossum). RNAcentral's name for it is "lncRNA (ENSMODG00000045738.1)". The record is from RNAcentral. Lineage: Eukaryota; Metazoa; Chordata; Mammalia; Didelphimorphia; Didelphidae.